RNAcentral lists this microRNA precursor (152 nucleotides) under Podarcis lilfordi (Lilford's wall lizard). The record is from RNAcentral. Lineage: Eukaryota; Metazoa; Chordata; Lepidosauria; Squamata; Lacertidae.
CUUCCAGUAGCACCUUAGAGACCAACUACGUUUGUUAUUGGUAUGAGCUUUCAUGUGCAUGCACACUUCUUCAGACACACUUCUUCGUGUGCAUGCACACGAAAGCUCAUACCAAUAACAAACUUAGUUGGUCUCUAAGGUGCUACUGGAAG